This 301-nucleotide ribosomal RNA is filed under the name uncultured bacterium. RNAcentral describes it as "partial 16S ribosomal RNA". It matches the Rfam family "Bacterial small subunit ribosomal RNA", at positions 509 to 809 of the family's 1533-position model. The record is from RNAcentral.
CAGUAGCCGCGGUAAAACGUAGGUGGCAAGCGUUAUCCGGAAUUAUUGGGCGUAAAGCGCGCGUAGGCGGUUUUUUAAGUCUGAUGUGAAAGCCCACGGCUCAACCGUGGAGGGUCAUUGGAAACUGGAAAACUUGAGUGCAGAAGAGGAAAGUGGAAUUCCAUGUGUAGCGGUGAAAUGCGCAGAGAUAUGGAGGAACACCAGUGGCGAAGGCGGCUUUCUGGUCUGCAACUGACGCUGAUGUGCGAAAGCGUGGGGAUCAAACAGGAUUAGAUACCCGAGUAGUCCCUGUCUCUUAUAA